CGGGUCGCCCUUGUGGUGCCGCCUGCUUUGGGAGCAGGGGGCCGCGGGUUCAAAUCCCGCCAGCCCGA
Molecule: transfer RNA, 68 nt
Filed under: Caudoviricetes sp.
Lineage: Duplodnaviria; Heunggongvirae; Uroviricota; Caudoviricetes
Description: tRNA-Leu
Rfam family: tRNA (bases 12-62)
About the family: Transfer RNA (tRNA) molecules are approximately 80 nucleotides in length. Their secondary structure includes four short double-helical elements and three loops (D, anti-codon, and T loops).
Source: RNAcentral